This 74-nucleotide transfer RNA is filed under the name Caudoviricetes sp. Its description in RNAcentral is "tRNA-Met". It matches the Rfam family "tRNA". From Rfam's summary of the family: Transfer RNA (tRNA) molecules are approximately 80 nucleotides in length. Their secondary structure includes four short double-helical elements and three loops (D, anti-codon, and T loops). Further hydrogen bonds mediate the characteristic L-shaped molecular structure. tRNAs have two regions of fundamental functional importance: the anti-codon, which is responsible for specific mRNA codon recognition, and the 3' end, to which the tRNAs corresponding amino acid is attached (by aminoacyl-tRNA synthetases). tRNAs cope with the degeneracy of the genetic code in two manners: having more than one tRNA (with a specific anti-codon) for a particular amino acid; and 'wobble' base-pairing, i.e. permitting non-standard base-pairing at the 3rd anti-codon position. Lineage: Duplodnaviria; Heunggongvirae; Uroviricota; Caudoviricetes. The record is from RNAcentral.
AGCGGAGUAGUAGCAGAUGGUAGCUCACUUGGCUCAUAACCAAGAGGUCGAGGUUUCGAGUCCCUUCUCCGCAA